CGGGACGUACCUCAGCUUGGACAAGAGCGCGCGCAUGGGGUCGCGAGGUCGCUGGUUCGAAUCCAGUCGUCCCGA
RNAcentral lists this transfer RNA (75 nucleotides) under Myxococcus sp. AM010. RNAcentral's name for it is "tRNA-OTHER". It matches the Rfam family "tRNA". Rfam says of the family: Transfer RNA (tRNA) molecules are approximately 80 nucleotides in length. Their secondary structure includes four short double-helical elements and three loops (D, anti-codon, and T loops). Further hydrogen bonds mediate the characteristic L-shaped molecular structure. tRNAs have two regions of fundamental functional importance: the anti-codon, which is responsible for specific mRNA codon recognition, and the 3' end, to which the tRNAs corresponding amino acid is attached (by aminoacyl-tRNA synthetases). tRNAs cope with the degeneracy of the genetic code in two manners: having more than one tRNA (with a specific anti-codon) for a particular amino acid; and 'wobble' base-pairing, i.e. permitting non-standard base-pairing at the 3rd anti-codon position. Lineage: Bacteria; Pseudomonadati; Myxococcota; Myxococcia; Myxococcales; Myxococcaceae. The record is from RNAcentral.